Molecule: ribosomal RNA, 253 nt
Filed under: uncultured bacterium
Lineage: Bacteria
Description: partial 16S ribosomal RNA
Rfam family: Bacterial small subunit ribosomal RNA
Source: RNAcentral
UACGUAGGCGGCAAGCGUUACUCGGAAUUACUAGGCGUAAAGCGCAGGUAGGUGGUUGGGUAAGUCUGUAAUGAAAUCUCCCGGCUUAACUGGGAGAGGUUUGGAGAUACUGCCCGACUCGAGUGUGGGAGAGGUAACUGGAAUUCCUGGUGUAGCGGUGAAAUGCGUAGAUAUCAGGAGGAACACCUAUGGCGAAAGCAGGUUACUGGCCCAAUACUGACGCUGAGCUGCGAAAGCUAGGGGAGCAAACAGG